UACGGAGGGUGCGAGCGUUGUCCGGAAUCACUGGGCGUAAAGGGCGCGUAGGUGGCGCGACAAGUCAACGGUGAAAGCUCGGCGCUCAACGCCGAGUCGGCCGUCGAUACUGUCGGGCUUGAGCACUGUAGAGGCAGAUGGAAUUCCGGGUGUAGCGGUGGAAUGCGUAGAGAUCCGGAAGAACACCGGUGGCGAAGGCGGUCUGCUGGGCAGUAGCUGACACUGAGGCGCGACAGCGUGGGGAGCAAACAGG
RNAcentral lists this ribosomal RNA (253 nucleotides) under uncultured bacterium. Its description in RNAcentral is "partial 16S ribosomal RNA". It matches the Rfam family "Bacterial small subunit ribosomal RNA", at positions 524 to 776 of the family's 1533-position model. The record is from RNAcentral.